AGGGAUGUCGGAUGAGUGGAGACGGGCGAGUACGCGUGGGAAUCUACCCAGUACUACGGAACAACACAGAGAAGUUUGUGCUAAUACCGUAUACGCCCUCCGGGGGAAAGAUUUAUCGGUAUCGGAUGAGCCCGCGUUUGAUUAGCUAGUUGGUGAGGUAAUGGCUCACCAAGGCGACGAUCAAUAGCUGGUCUGAGAGGAUGACCAGCCACACUGGGACUGAGACACGGCCCAGACUCCUACGGGAGGCAGCAGUGGGGAAUAUUGGACAAUGGGCGAAAGCCUGAUCCAGCCAUGCCGCGUGUGUGAUGAAGGCCCUAGGGUUGUAAAGCACUUUCAACGGUGAAGAUAAUGACGGUAACCGUAUAAGAAGCUCCGGCUAACUUCGUGCCAGCAGCCGCGGUAUACAAAGGGAGCUAGCGUUGUUCGGAAUUACUGGGCGUAAAGCGCGCGUAGGCGGGCUAUUAAGUUAGAGGUGAAAUCCCAGGGCUCAACCCUGGAACUGCCUUUGAUACUGGUAGUCUAGAGUUCGAGAGAGGUGAGUGGAAUUCCGAGUGUAGAGGUGAAAUUCGUAGAUAUUCGGAGGAACACCAGUGGCGAAGGCGGCUCACUGGCUCGAUACUGACGCUGAGGUGCGAAAGCGUGGGGAG
RNAcentral lists this ribosomal RNA (650 nucleotides) under uncultured bacterium. Its description in RNAcentral is "bacterial SSU rRNA". It matches the Rfam family "Bacterial small subunit ribosomal RNA", at positions 81 to 768 of the family's 1533-position model. The record is from RNAcentral.